Piliocolobus tephrosceles (Ugandan red Colobus) is the source of this 2843-nucleotide long non-coding RNA. The record is from Ensembl. Lineage: Eukaryota; Metazoa; Chordata; Mammalia; Primates; Cercopithecidae.
UAAGCACUAUUUAACACUAAUAAAAACAAAAAAGUCAAUGCUUAAAUUGCAAUCGAAGCUAUGUAUGCAAUUGAAAAAAAAAUAAUAACUGGUGAGGCGAGAAAAGAAAAUAUGCAUGAGAAAAAUGAAAUACAAAAAAUAUAUAUACAGUAUACGGAUAAAAAUAAAAAAAAAAGUACAGUUAAAGAAAAAGAAAAAGACAAAACGCCUAUGAUUCAAGAAGAAGAAAAAAAAAACAAGAAUUUUAUAAUUUACAAUAUAAAAAAUUUAGAAAAGAGUAAAAAAAAAAAAAAAAAUGAGCUUAAUAAUCAAAUAGAGUACACAUCAAUUAAAAACACAAAAAAAAAUAAUAGACUAGUAAAAAUUCAUUCUGACAGUAAUAAUCAUAAUAAUAAUCAUAAUAAUAUUACUAAUGAAAUAAACAAUAAUUAUAUUAGUAAAAGUAAUACUGAUGAUAUGAACAAUAGUAACAAUAUAAACAAUAAUAAUAAUAAUAUCAACGAAAAUAAAAUUAUUAGUGACAAUAACAGUAUUAAUAAAAAUAUUACGAUUAACAGUAGCAAUAUUAGCAAUAAUAAUAAUAUCAACGAAAAUAAAAUUAUUAGUAACAAUAACAGUAUUAACAAAAAUAAUUACUACAGUAAUCAUAAUAGUAACAACAAUAAUAACAGCUGUUGUAGAUAUGUGCAUUGUAAAAAUGUUUUACAUGAUAAUUUUGAUAAAAAAAUAAAAAAUAAAAAAUUGGAAAAUGAUAAAGAACUAAUAAACAAAGUUAAUUUUGAAAAAAAUCGUAAUAUUACUAUUAGUAGUAAUAGCAGUAAUAAUAUUAAUAGCAAUUGUAACAGCAGUAAUAACAUUAAUAGCAUUUAUAAUAGUAAUACUAAUAUUUGUGAUUGUUUGGAUAAUUAUAAUGAAUGUGUUGAUGGGGUAAAAAAUAACAAAAAAAAAUCGAAACUGUACUAUUCAAAUGAUAAAGCCAUUUUAAAUGACAUGUUCAUACGAGAAAAAAUACACAAUUCAAAUGACAAAUGCAUUAAUAAAAAUAUGGAGAAUUAUGCAGAUACAAACUGUUAUAUUGAUAUUAGCACAUACCAAGAUUUAUACGCAGAACAUGAUAGUAAAGUUGAUAUCAGUAAAUCAAGUAUAGAUCAUAAUUUUUUUAAACGAAAAAAACAUAACGUGAAUCGUAUUGAUGAUAUAUCUUUUAAUAACUUCCGUUAUAAUGCGUCAUUAAGUGAUGGGUCAUACGUUUAUAGGAAAUAUAAUGGUAUGUCAUGUGACGACAUGUCACAUGAUGAAACGAUACAUGACGACAUACCAAAUGACGAUAUACCACGCGAUGAAAUUUCAUAUAGUAACAAAAAAUACAAAUCUGAUAAAAUAAAACGAUUUGUUUUUAUUGUUUUAAACGGAUGCUUAGUUGUUUUUUUAGCUGUGGCCAAUAAUAUAUGCGGAAGAAUGAGAAAUAGAGUUUUAAAAAAUUUUGACAGUUUAACUGCAUCAUACAAUGCUAUAGUAUAUGUGCUAAUUUAUUUAAUUUUGUGCCUUUUGUAUUAUAGACUAGGGAGUAUUAAAGCAGGACAUUGGUAUUAUAUAUAUCCAUGUAUGCGAAAAUUAUAUAAAAAUGAUAGAAAAAAUUAUGAUAGUAGUAACAGAAAAAGAACAAAAAAGAAGUUACCUUUAAAUAAUGCGAUGGAGUUAAAUAUUUACCAAAAGAAUAAAAAAAGCAAAAAUGGAACAAUGAAAUAUGUUAAUACUCAUAAAAAAAAGAUAUAUGAUCCGUUGUUAGAAAAUGUAUAUAGUGAUGCUAUUAAUGAAAGCAGUUAUGAUUAUUCUACUGAAGAUAACGCUGCAUGGGUUAAAGUAGAAGACACGUGUAAGAAUAACUAUAUUGUUAAAUGUGCAAACAAUCAUGUAGGUAAGUAUACUAAUAAAUUUGCAACUAAAAAUGAACAUACAUUAAAAUAUGGUAACAAUGAAGCAGUGCAUAUGUGUACAUCUCACCAAAAACCUAACAAAAUAAACAAAAGUGAAUUGUAUGAAAGUAAAAAGUUAAAUGAUAAUGGUGCCUAUUAUAUUGAAGAUAAAAAAACGCUAAAAAGUGAUUUAAACAUUGAAUAUUCUGAUAAAAAAUGGAAUAGCAAAUUAUGUGAUAAUCAUAUAUAUGAAUCCAAAGGAAGGGUAAGAAAUGAAGUGAAAACAAUGGGAGAAAUAUCAUCAAAUAAAAUUUUACCAUAUAAUGAGUAUAAAAUAAAAUAUUUUCCAGAUGAUUACGAAUAUAAUAAAUACAAUAUAUGUAUGAUAAAUAACAAACAAUACGAAAAAAGAAAUAAAUCACAAAUGAGUAUAAAAGAUAAGUGGGUAAGCAUGGGGGCUUAUAAAUAUGUUAUUGUUAUAGCUAUAAUUGAUAUAAUGUCUAACACUUUGUAUUUUGUAUCUCAACAAGCUAUACCAUUAACUAUAUUAUUAUUACUGAAUCAAAUGAAUUUUAUUUUUUCUAUUAUAUUAUCUGCUUUAAUAUUAAAAAGAAAAUAUAAUAUACACCAUGUUAUAUCUGUUAUAAUUGUAUUGAUUGGAUAUCUUUUUUUUAUUUCCCUUACGUAUAUAAAGAAAAUAUAAAUGUGACUUUGUAUAACACAAUAGUUAAGAAUUAUUCUAAUUUUAAUUUAUUCACUGGUUUAAAUGAUAGCAUAUACAAUAUAAAUGUAGCAAAUGUUUAUAAUAAUAGUAUAUUAGGAAGCAGCCAUGAUGGUACAUAUGAUAGUAGUAAUGGUACGUAUACUAAUACUGAGGAUUCUUCUUUUGAUUCUGUAAAUGUUCCUAAAUUUAGUCUAUUUACAUCA